AGCCCAGGCAGAGAGCAGGGCUGGGUGUCUGUUGUGCUUCAGUAGAAGAUUCCAAGACCCGGUUUCUCCUGGUCCACAGCAAACACAAAAUAUUUAGAAAUUCACUAACUGCUCAGCAGUGUUUUCUAAGGGGAGUGCCAAGGAUUUAAUCUGUCUUUGGUUCACCAGGGAUGUCUGCAGUUAACUCAUGAUGGGAACAGAGCCUGCAGCUCAUGGUAGCUACGUUUAUAAGCAGAGACAGGCACGCUUCAGGAUCAGAAGCAGUUCCAAUUGAGAAAAAUAAUCUCGUUUAGCAAAAAUCUACAAAAGGCAAUGUUCUUAACAGGAUCACUUUGGAGUUUCAAGGAACUGUGGACCCUUGUUUGCUGGUGAGGAAAUGGAUUUUACCCUGCACAUAGCGUGCAGUUAUCCCAUUGCAUCUGAUCAUACAAAUAAACCAUCGCAGAGUCCAUGACCUCAGUGCUGUCAUAAUGAUUGGCCCGCCUUGAUUAACUGAAGGACCAGUAAGUUUAUGUCCCCAAAUCAAGGAAAGUCAAGUCAAUGACAGAAGUAGUCCAACAGCAGACACAUCACUCACUCGUCUUGUACAGCAGUGCCCUCAGUACCGCACCUGGUUUUGUUUGGAGGAGAGCAGAGCUCUGCUUACACUCAACAGCCACAUUUUCUCCACUGAGGCUGCAGCUUUUCUUUGGCAGAACAGAAACCUGGUGUCCAGGCUGCACCUGCUGUAUGUGCCACUGUUCGCUCAUGCGGUUUCCCCACAUAUUUUUUUCCAGUCAUUAGUUUUCUCGGGCUGGUAGCCUAGGCUAUAUUGAAUCAGCAUCCUCAAGGACCACGCAGCACAGGAUCCUGAUCUGAAGAGCAGGCCACAGAGGCCUGCAGGGCCCAGGGCCCAAGGCAGGGUCAGAGCAGUUCCUUGUCCCCUGCUAUCAGCCAGGAGGACACUGGGUUCUCACUGAACUCUGGUUCAGACUAUACCUACUGUAUUUAAAAGCCACAACUGGAUCUGUUCUUCAGACAUCUGUUUACUUUUGUUUUCAACCUGUCCACACUCCUGUCCUCCAUAGCCCACAGUUAA
Anas platyrhynchos (mallard) is the source of this 1078-nucleotide non-coding RNA. The record is from RefSeq and is a predicted model, not a curated record. NCBI's taxonomy places the organism in Eukaryota, Metazoa, Chordata, Aves, Anseriformes, Anatidae.